CGCUACCGCAGCAUCAGUUAAGCGUCGUCCCUCCCAGAAAUAAGCUGUGAAAGAUAGCAGCGUCAAUCUCAUUUUGUGCUCACCACAGCUCACAUCGAUGCCUUGGCCACUCCUGAGAACGUUGGCGAGAUACCCGACGAGAACACCGCUGCAUCAGACGUGGGCGAGAGGGGACCGCAGCCAGCGCCAGAAGUGAAAAGACGCGGCGGAGCUCCCGAGUGGACACCAGGAGAAACCAAACUGCUAUUAGAUUACUAUUACAAGUACUUUCCGCAGGUGGGCCCAUUCAAAAAGUUUUAAAACAAAAAGAUGCUUUUUCAGAAGGUUUCACAGGAUUUGGCCGAGGUUCUUGGAUGUAACAAAACGCCACAGCAGUGUGAAAAUCGCUAUAAAACAGUAAUGAGGCAGAGGAAAAGGGCAAGUGACAACAACAACAAAUCAGGUGCUUCACCUCAUCCUGUCCCAUUUGACGAUGAAAUGCAAAAAAUCCAAAGCAUUGAUGACAGUCUCGAGCCAGAGAUUCAAAGGGAGUCUUUUGGAGUGACCCACAAGUCAACGUCAUCAAGCUCUGACAGCUCAGCUGAUCCACUUUCACCUGUGCCUGAAAUGUCCAGUGUUCCUUCAAGCAAUUCAGAAAGUGGUGAAAGUAUGAAAGGGUCAACAGAGGUGAGGAAAAGGGAAUGCUGUGCCAGUACUGGUCGUAUGCAGCAGAUGCAAUUUUUUUUUAUCAAAUGAGGGCUAUAAGCGCACAGCGAAUAGCUCAAAGGGAAAAGAGAGAAGA
This is a long non-coding RNA of Dermacentor albipictus, 781 nucleotides long. RefSeq lists it as uncharacterized. The record is from RefSeq and is a predicted model, not a curated record. Lineage: Eukaryota; Metazoa; Arthropoda; Arachnida; Ixodida; Ixodidae.